GACGAACGCUGGCGGCGUGCUUAACACAUGCAAGUCGAACGGAAAGGCCCUGCUUUUGUGGGGUGCUCGAGUGGCGAACGGGUGAGUAACACGUGAGUAACCUGCCCUUGACUUUGGGAUAACUUCAGGAAACUGGGGCUAAUACCGGAUAGGAGCUCCUGCUGCAUGGUGGGGGUUGGAAAGGUUCGGCGGUUGGGGACGGAGUCGCGGUUUAUCAGCUUGUUGGUGGGGUAGUGGCUUACCAAGGCUUCGACGGGUAGCCGGCCUGAGAGGGUGACAGGCCACAGUGGGCCUGGGAUACGGCCAAGACGCCAACGGGAGGCAGGGGUGGGGAAUAUUGGGCAAUGGGCGGAAGCCUGAUGGAGCAACGCCGCGUGGGGGAAGACGGCUUUCGGGUUGUAAACCGCUUUCGCCUGUGACGAAGCGUGAGUGACGGUACUGGGUAAAGAAGCACGGGCUAACUACGG
RNAcentral lists this ribosomal RNA (467 nucleotides) under uncultured bacterium. RNAcentral's name for it is "partial 16S ribosomal RNA". It matches the Rfam family "Bacterial small subunit ribosomal RNA", at positions 28 to 506 of the family's 1533-position model. The record is from RNAcentral.